This 406-nucleotide ribosomal RNA is filed under the name uncultured bacterium. Its description in RNAcentral is "partial 16S ribosomal RNA". It matches the Rfam family "Bacterial small subunit ribosomal RNA", at positions 30 to 526 of the family's 1533-position model. The record is from RNAcentral.
AUUGAACGCUGGCGGCAGGCCUAACACAUGCAAGUCGAACGAGUGGCGGACGGGUGAGUAAUGUCUGGGACACUGCCCGAUGGAGGGGGAUAACUACUGGAAACGGUAGCUAAUACCGCAUACCAUCGGAUGUGCCCAGAUGGGAUUAGCUAGUAGGUGGGGUAACGGCUCACCUAGGCGACGAUCCCUAGCUGGUCUUAGCGGAUGACCAGCCACACUGGAACUGAGACACGGUCCAGACACCUACGGGAUGCAGCAGUGGGGAAUAUGGCACAAUGGGCGCAAGCCUGAUAUAGCCAUGCCGCGUGUAUGAAGAAGGCCUUCGGGUUGUAAAGUACUUUCAGCGAGGAGGCGUGACUCGCAGAAGAAGCACCUGCUAACUCCGUGCCAGCAGCCGCGGUAAUAC